UCAUUACGAUUACUUGAAAAGUCGACUGGGAUAAGUCGAGAGUUAGUCGACUUAUCGAUUGAUAGUCGACUAUCUGUGUCCAUGGUGCCGACAGAACGUCGGAUGUCAAGACUCGUAGAAAUUGUAGUUGAAUCGGAGUUCAUUCUGCAAUCUGGCUGUAAUUAUCCAUCGUUAGCUACCGACAUAGAGUCGAGAUGACCGACAGUGAAUCGGGGGAGCUAAAUCAGGGGGAGCAGGUUUAGUUGUUUCAACAGUUGCCCUCCAUUUUCAAGUUCAAGGUGGUUUGUCACGUGGUUCGACACGUGGCUUGAUAUGUUGGAUGAUGUGAGUCAUCAUGUUUCGUUUCGAACCUCGAUUCUAUGAUCGAUUCGACCACAAGCAUUAAUGAUUCACUCAAAAAAUCGAAGUCUCCAGCCGUUUUGUCGUUUUGAUGAUCGUGUGAUCAUCAUUGAGGCAUCAAUUUAAGGGAAC
This 471-nucleotide long non-coding RNA is filed under the name Elaeis guineensis (African oil palm). RNAcentral describes it as "long non-coding RNA (EGUI_LNC023270)". Lineage: Eukaryota; Viridiplantae; Streptophyta; Magnoliopsida; Arecales; Arecaceae. The record is from RNAcentral.